RNAcentral lists this ribosomal RNA (375 nucleotides) under uncultured organism. Its description in RNAcentral is "partial 16S ribosomal RNA". It matches the Rfam family "Bacterial small subunit ribosomal RNA", at positions 527 to 896 of the family's 1533-position model. The record is from RNAcentral.
GUAGGUGGCAAGCGUUGUCCGGGAAUUAUUGGGCGUAAAGCGCGCGCAGGCGGUUCGUUUAAGUCUGAUGUGAAAGCCCACGGGCUCAACCGUGGAGGGUCAUUGGAAACUGGAGAACUUGAGUACAGAAGAGGAAAGUGGAAUUCCACGUGUAGCGGUGAAAUGCGUAGAGAUGUGGAGGAACACCAGUGGCGAAGGCGGCUUUCUGGUCUGUAACUGACGCUGAGGCGCGAAAGCGUGGGGAGCAAACAGGAUUAGAUACCCUGGUAGUCCACGCCGUAAACGAUGAGUGCUAAGUGUUAGGGGGUUUCCGCCCCUUAGUGCUGCAGCUAACGCAUUAAGCACUCCGCCUGGGGAGUACGGCCGCAAAGGCUG